RNAcentral lists this ribosomal RNA (253 nucleotides) under uncultured bacterium. RNAcentral describes it as "partial 16S ribosomal RNA". It matches the Rfam family "Bacterial small subunit ribosomal RNA", at positions 524 to 776 of the family's 1533-position model. The record is from RNAcentral.
UACGUAGGGUGCGAGCGUUGUCCGGAAUUAUUGGGCGUAAAGGGCUCGUAGGCGGUUUGUCGCGUCGGGAGUGAAAUCCACUGGCUUAACUGGUGGCUUGCUUUCGAUACGGGCAAACUGGAGGUAUGCAGGGGAGAACGGAAUUCCAGGUGUAGCGGUGAAAUGCGUAGAUAUCUGGAGGAACACCGGUGGCGAAGGCGGCAUCCUGGACCGACACUGACGCUGAGGAGCGAAAGCCAGGGGAGCAAACGGG